AUGUCUUUAAGGUUUCCGUAGGUGAACCUGCGGAAGGAUCAUUACAAAAUAAAGCUGGAGGAAGUGGGGUCUUAUCUGUAAGUGGUAGAGCGAACAGUCCGGCUGCCCCCGAAAUGUCUUACAUGUCCCCCAACAGCCCUGAAGGCCGAAUUACAACCCUUGAUUAUCUACACUUGUUGCUUUGGGGUGCUCAAGUGCCCCAGAGGACCCAACUCUCUUGCAUUUAGGACGUCUGAGUACUAUAUAAUAUUUAAAA
Molecule: unclassified non-coding RNA, 256 nt
Filed under: plant metagenome
Description: partial contains small subunit ribosomal RNA and internal transcribed spacer 1
Source: RNAcentral